GCGCCCGUACGCCAACUGGGGAGCGACGGCUUUUAGGUAGCCGUGUUGUGUCGGUUCGAGUCCGACCGGGCGCACCG
This 77-nucleotide transfer RNA is filed under the name Streptomyces sp. CB01580. RNAcentral's name for it is "tRNA-Leu". Lineage: Bacteria; Bacillati; Actinomycetota; Actinomycetes; Kitasatosporales; Streptomycetaceae. The record is from RNAcentral.